Molecule: long non-coding RNA, 1114 nt
Organism: Planococcus citri (citrus mealybug)
Lineage: Eukaryota; Metazoa; Arthropoda; Insecta; Hemiptera; Pseudococcidae
Exons: 2
Source: RefSeq, a predicted model, not a curated record
CAGAUCGGCAAUUCUCAGGCAGAAGAAUACAUAAAAAAGUGAACAUCGAGUAUUUAUAAUUUCACAGCAGAGGACUGACAGCAAAAUUCAACGUUUUCAAUUUCCUUUGCUUAGUGAAAUUAUUUGAAAAAAUACCAGUAACAUCGUCGUCUACGACCAUGGGACCCAAUGUAUCAUACAAAGCUGUGAUUUUGUUUGCAGGAAUAACAUUCAUGCUUUUCUCAAAUACAAAUACGCACUCCUCAACUUCCCAUAAUGAUGAUUCAUCUCCUGAAGAUUCCAUACCCGAGAUAAAAUCCCUCCCAAAUAAAGUAAACCCAGAAUGCGGCCCUUUGACAAAGUCUGUCAGCAUGAAUAAAUUGACAGAUAUUCUAACAUUCGAUAUAUUUUCACAAGCUGAUCCUUCCCAAUACCUCAUCGAGAAAAUAAUGAAAAUGAAUGUAUCAGGAAAUGAAACUAUUCUUGAUAUCAUAGGAGAAGUGUCUUACGCAUUGGGAACCAGACGACUCGCUUUGUGCUAUGUUCCAUUCGCUUACCUAUUGAUAUCACUUUUGAAGUGCCGGAGUUACCUUUUGAGCGUAAAUAAAUACGUAUCAGCGGUACGAAUUCAACACUCAACAAACGUGGAUGGUUUAAAUUCUUUACAACUGGAGAUUUCUUCGUCAGCGGAACUAUCCGAAUUGUUUUCUUCCGAUAUAAUAUUCAAUUCUGAAUCACCUAUGCGUCUGUUCAAUAAAUUAUUGCGCAUGUCGGACGAUGAAAUAGUGAAUUUGAAAAUCCAGUUGCAAAAUUUUUCACGAAAGUGGAUGCCAAUACGUGUGAAAGAUCUGCCAUUUUCUUCCAUGUACAGGAUGUAUGCUCAUACAGUGUUCGAAUUAUUACGUGACAAAACUGCUUUCGGCAGCCUUAAACGUAAUAUGGCAGAAAUUCAACACGUACCGACUUCUAAUGAGAGCAUGGCCAACGUUUAACAGAUUAACUGCUGCUAAUUACGCUACCAAUAAAAGGAACAUGUGAACGGUGGACGUAGACCAAGUUGUAAGUUGGAAUUUAGAUUUUUUUCAUCAAUUAAGUAUGUACCUACCUAUUUUAAAAUAUACAUCGAAUCAACGUU